RNAcentral lists this ribosomal RNA (856 nucleotides) under uncultured beta proteobacterium. Its description in RNAcentral is "bacterial SSU rRNA". It matches the Rfam family "Bacterial small subunit ribosomal RNA", at positions 58 to 911 of the family's 1533-position model. The record is from RNAcentral. Lineage: Bacteria; Pseudomonadati; Pseudomonadota; Betaproteobacteria.
CAAGUCGAGCGGCAGCGCGGGGCAACCUGGCGGCGAGCGGCGAACGGGUGAGUAAUGCAUCGGAACAUGUCCAUGUCGUGGGGGAUAGCCCGGCGAAAGCCGGAUUAAUACCGCAUAAGCCCGAGAGGGGAAAGCCGGGGACCGCAAGGCCUGGCGCGAUUGGGUUGGCCGAUGUCCGAUUAGCUAGUUGGCGGGGUAAGAGCCCACCAAGGCGAUGAUCGGUAGCUGGUCUGAGAGGAUGAUCAGCCACACUGGGACUGAGACACGGCCCAGACUCCUACGGGAGGCAGCAGUGGGGAAUUUUGGACAAUGGGGGAAACCCUGAUCCAGCCAUUCCGCGUGAGUGAAGAAGGCCUUCGGGUUGUAAAGCUCUUUUGUCCGGAACGAAACGGUUGCGACUAAUACUCGCGACUACUGACGGUACCGGAAGAAUAAGCACCGGCUAACUACGUGCCAGCAGCCGCGGUAAUACGUAGGGUGCGAGCGUUAAUCGGAAUUACUGGGCGUAAAGCGUGCGCAGGCGGUUUUGUAAGCCAGAUGUGAAAUCCCCGGGCUUAACCUGGGAAUGGCAUUUGGGACUGCAAGGCUUGAGUGCGGCAGAGGAGACUGGAAUUCCUGGUGUAGCAGUGAAAUGCGUAGAUAUCAGGAGGAACACCGAUGGCGAAGGCAGGUCUCUGGGCUGACACUGACGCUCAUGCACGAAAGCGUGGGGAGCAAACAGGAUUAGAUACCCUGGUAGUCCACGCCCUAAACGAUGUCGACUGGUUGUUGGGGGUUUGACACUCUCAGUAACGAAGCUAACGCGUGAAGUCGACCGCCUGGGGAGUACGGCCGCAAGGUUAAAACUCAAGGAAUU